Molecule: ribosomal RNA, 253 nt
Filed under: uncultured bacterium
Lineage: Bacteria
Description: partial 16S ribosomal RNA
Rfam family: Bacterial small subunit ribosomal RNA
Source: RNAcentral
UACGGAGGGUGCAAACGUUGCUCGGAAUUAUUGGGCGUAAAGCGCACGUAGGCGGCCGAUUAAGUCAGGUGUGAAAGCCCAGGGCUCAACCCUGGAAGUGCACUCGAAACUGGACGGCUUGAAUAUGGAAGAGGGUUGCGGAAUUCCCGGUGUAGAGGUGAAAUUCGUAGAUAUCGGGAGGAACACCAGUGGCGAAGGCGGCAACCUGGGCCAAUAUUGACGCUGAGGUGCGAAAGCGUGGGGAGCAAACAGG